This 1662-nucleotide long non-coding RNA is filed under the name Pan troglodytes (chimpanzee). RNAcentral describes it as "long non-coding RNA NONPTRT009223". Lineage: Eukaryota; Metazoa; Chordata; Mammalia; Primates; Hominidae. The record is from RNAcentral.
CCAAAGGGGCUGGGAUCAACUAUGGAGGUGGAUAAAUUAGUUUGGGGCAAUAAUGUGUAUUUGACUGAAUGGGGCAAAAUUAAAUUAUGUACCUUUUAGAGAGUAACUUGAUCUCCAUGUUCUUUUGGGAGCUUUUAUCUGACCUGUGUACCGACUAUAGUUCUAAUUAGCACCAGUUUUAUCCUGUCUUUUGGCUGGGAUUAUGUCUUAUUAUUUUGUGUGUUUCUCAGCACCUAGCAACAGGUAGUAAGCUCCUUGGGUGCCGAAUCAGUAUUUUCUGCCUUGGAAUCAAAUGUCAGAAGUCAACACUCAAACGUCUUUUGACCAAAAAGAUUCUACGACAAUUAUCCAGAAGUUACAAUGCAAGGAAGAAGAAUUGGAUGUUAAGUCUUGCGUAGCAGGGGUUAUGGGGAGUGGAUCAAGACAAAGUAGAGGUAUCUGCUCCCCUCAUCCUUGUAAGCUCCAUGCCAUUUAUCCAUGCUCACAUUGAUCAUCUCAUACGAGCUUCACAUUUCCCCUCAAGAAAUGGAGCGUUACCCCAUUACCUACUCAUAGAGGAGGAACUGGAAGCCAGAGAGGGAGAUGCCUUAUUGACACAGAGCACAAGUGGCAGGAGCUGGCUUCAGACCUCAGUCCAUCCGGUGUGGCAGUCCCUCUUCCCAGGACCAGGUGGAGCUGGAGAGAAGGAGGAAGAGGAGUCUGUGAGGUCCAAAUGGAGAUGCUCGGCAGGCCCUUUCCAAAGGUGGGAGGUGAGGUCGGCCUGGAACCCUACUGGAUGCUUAAGUGUCCUGCCGCACUGCUGAUGAAAGCAGGUCCCCACCGCAGUGUAUAUACAUUGUGUGUUUGCAUCUAAAACGUCUAUAGUUGUUUGAAAUGUUUAAAUCUUUAACCCAUCUGAGAUGUGUUUUCAUGUAUGGUGUGACACAGAGCUCUAAUUUGCUCUUUUUCCAGAUAUCCAGUUUGCUAAGCACCAUUUAUUGUUCCAACACCAUCUUUUCUCUCAAUUCCCUGUCUAGACUCCAGUUCUGUUGAUGAUUUGUCUAUUUCUGAGCCAACAGUACAUAUUAAUGAGCAAAGCUUAAUAAAGUGUCUUAUGGCUUGAUAAGAUAAGCACUCCACCCUUCCCCCAAGGCCUUUAUUCCUUUUUUUCUUUUUGAGACGGAGUCUUGCUCUGCCGCCCAGACUGGGGUUCAGUGGUGCAGUCUCCGCUCACUGCAACCUCCACCUCCCAGGUUCAAGUGAUUCUCCUGCCUCAGUCUCCUGAGUAGCUGGGACUACAGGCACGCGCCACCAUGCCCGGCUAAUUUUUGUAUUUUUUGGUGCAGAUAGGGUUUCACCAUGUUGGCCAGGCUAGUCUCGAACUCCUGACCUCAAGUGAUCCACCCAUCUCGGCCUCCCAAGGUGCUGGGAUUAUAGGCAUGAGCCACCGUGCGCAGCCCCUUAUUCUUUUUUAAAAUUGUCUUGGUCAUAUUGCACAUUUACUUUUUCAGGUACAUUUUAUAAUCAGCUUGUCAAAGUUCUGUGAACAAAAUAUCUGUUGGAAGUUUGAGAAGAAUUGCAUUGAAGGGGAAAUUAACAUCUUUAGAAUAUCAGUUCUUCCCAUCUGUGGACAUGGUGUCUGUCUCUUUUUAAUCAGAAUUGUAUCUGUUUUGUUUUGUUUUG